GGACACACAGAAGUCACCAUCUAUAAGAAACAGGCUCCCACCAGACACUGAGUCUGCUGGAGCCUUGAUCUUGAAUUUCCCAACCUCCAGAACUGUGGCCACCAGACUUUCUCUGCUUGUAUCCUCCCAGGACCACAGAACUCAUCGCAUCCCAAGGCAGCCUAUUCCAUCAUGGAUGAGCUCAAAGUGUUUGAAAGUUCUGCUUUAUCAAAACUCUUGAUGGCCUGCUUCCCAUCCUCCAUCCUGGAAGACUGAUCUGAAACCCCAGGAGGAGGUCCUCUGAGCCCUGAGGCAGAGAUCUCUCACCUGGAAGAUGGGUCUAAUGACUGCGCCCCACACACACCAGAGAGGACUGCAGAUAGUGCGGGAUGAGAGGAAGAUCUCUGGCCCUGGAGACAGCAUCAUCAAGCGAAAACGUAUGAGGAAGAAAAUAGCAGAUGAGAAGAAUCAACCAAAUUCCGGAAGCUGGAAGGCAGAUGCAAGAAGGCCCUUGAAUGAUGCCAGCACCUUGAUAUUGGACUUUCCAGCCUCCAGAACCAUGAGCCAAUACAUUUCUGUUCCAUAAAAAUUACCCAGUUCCAGGUAUUCUGCUAUAGCAGCACAAAAUGGACUAAAACAAUGUUGGCACAAGACUCAGUGCUGGGCCUGGCAUGCAACAGGUCCUUGGAGUGGCGUGCUGUGUGGAUAAUGAAUAUUGGGGAAGGCAUCUCUCUCCAGCCCCUCUCAAGCUUUCUGUAGUCACUGGUCCACUCUGUAUUGCUAUGAAGAAGCUCAAGACCAGCCUGUAUCACUCGGGGUCCUGGCAGGAACCAGGUGCCACACUCAAACUGAGUAAUUGAAGAGGGUUUAAUAUGGGAGUUAUUUACAUAGGUGUGGGCUGGUGUAGCUGCCCAUAUGCCCUCAAAAUCACCUCUACAUGGCAAUAGCUACUUACUGCUAACAGAGUCUCUCUCUCAUUGCUGCAAAUAUUUUCUAGCCAUGCAAGAAACUCAGCCGGUCAUGUUGAACAAACUAAGAGUGCCAGGAAGUUAAUGUCCUGGAAGCAUUGCCAGAGGGGAGGGGGCAGUUAGAUUCCCCAGCUUCCUCGCUCCUCUGCUGGGUUAAGCCUGCAACAUAUUCAUCAUCUCCCAGAGUGCUGCCCAGGGAUAGAGCUCCAGGUGCUCAGUGUGGUGACCUGCUCAUGUCAGCUUCUUCCCCUUUCCUGUCUUGUUUCGCACCCACAUCCUUCCCAUGUUUCCUCUUCCCAAAUAAACUACUUGCAUUGAAA
Molecule: long non-coding RNA, 1267 nt
Filed under: Homo sapiens (human)
Lineage: Eukaryota; Metazoa; Chordata; Mammalia; Primates; Hominidae
Description: PREDICTED lncRNA (TCONS_00171034)
Source: RNAcentral